GAUGAACGCUGGCGGCGUGCCUAAUACAUGCAAGCCGAGCGAACAGACGAGGAGCUUGCUCCUCUGACGUUAGCGGCGGACGGGUGAGUAACACGUGGAUAACCUACCUAUAAGACUGGGAUAACUUCGGGAAACCGGAGCUAAUACCGGAUAAUAUAUUGAACCGCAUGGUUCAAUAGUGAAAGACGGUUUUGCUGUCACUUAUAGAUGGAUCCGCGCCGCAUUAGCUAGUUGGUAAGGUAACGGCUUACCAAGGCGACGAUGCGUAGCCGACCUGAGAGGGUGAUCGGCCACACUGGAACUGAGACACGGUCCAGACUCCUACGGGAGGCAGCAGUAGGGAAUCUUCCGCAAUGGGCGAAAGCUUGACGGAGCAACGCCGCGUGAGUGAUGAAGGUCUUCGGAUCGUAAAACUCUGUUAUUAGGGAAGAACAAAUGUGUAAGUAACUAUGCACGUCUUGACGGUACCUAAUCAGAAAGCCACGGCUAACUACGUG
Molecule: ribosomal RNA, 497 nt
Filed under: uncultured bacterium
Lineage: Bacteria
Description: partial 16S ribosomal RNA
Rfam family: Bacterial small subunit ribosomal RNA
Source: RNAcentral